This is a long non-coding RNA of Oncorhynchus gorbuscha (pink salmon), 416 nucleotides long. RefSeq lists it as uncharacterized. The record is from RefSeq and is a predicted model, not a curated record. Lineage: Eukaryota; Metazoa; Chordata; Actinopteri; Salmoniformes; Salmonidae. The transcript has 3 exons.
GAUGCUUGGCUACCCCAUAGUGGACUAUACAACACUGGCCCUUUAAGGCUCUCCUGGAGGAUGAUUGGCUACCCCAUAGUGGACUAUACAACACUGCAAUUCCAACUAAAUGCUUUGAGGUGGUUACGGUAGGCUACUUCAAAGCAAGGAGACGAGGUACCAGUUGCUGCGGCCAGCCCAGAGUGCUUCAUGGAUCGGCUACGCCAUCGCCUCCUAGAGGACUACGAGAUGGCUGCCAAGAUGGCAGAGGAGUUCAGGAAAACACAACCGACGUUUCCAGACCAGGUGAACUGUGAGCUGCUGCUGUACCAGAACCAGGUGCUGAGGGAGGCUUGGACUCUAUAAGGAGGCUCUGGACCACCUCACCACCCACCACCUACGAGAAACAGAUCUGUGACAAACUGGCCGUCGAGGAG